AGAGCAGCGAAGGAGAGGAGUAAUGUUCCAUGGCCGCUACGUGGAACGUGUAAUCUGUUUGAGAAACUCACUGCAGCUGUUCAUCUGCUUUGGGGAAGAAAAAAGAAAAAGUCUCCACUGAGAAAAGAGACUCACUUUUCAGGGGGGUGCAGACAGGAUAAACUGACGGCAGUUGUCGUACAAAGGAGACAAAACCUCAUUCCUGCAUUUUCUAGAAAACAACUGGCAGGAACACCGCAAACCUUUCAGUCCACAUCUGCCCGCAUUGAACUAAAGAUACAAAAGUCUACGUCACCAUGACAACGGCUACCUGUUAACAUAAUGAUGCCAUUCUUGGUUCUUUGUAAAACGAAUGCAUCCUUGGAAUGAGUCGCUCCCUGAUGAACUGCAAUCUUCCAUUAAAGGGGUGAGGAUGCAGAACGAGGAGUACAUCUGAUAAUUGGCCUGUCAGCCUCUGCAUUCGUGCUUCACUCCAGACUGUGUCCAGCAUGUACUCUGGAGACUGCACUAUGUUAGAGACGCAAGAUGGAGACCGCCGCCUGCAUUCAAACCCUUUGACUGUACACAUUAGUAUUAUUCGUAUUAUUUAGACAAUUUCACCAAGAAAGUUCUUCAUACCGUAUUUUCCGCACUAUAAGGCACACCUAAAAACCUCCAAUCUUCUCAAAAGCCGACAGUACGCCUUAUAAUCCAGUGCGCCUUAUAUAUGGACUAAUAUUGAGCCACUACGGCAGGCGUGUCCAAACAUAUGGAUUUAUAUAUGAACAAAGUUUUAGAUUGGGCCAUUCAUUGAAGGUGCGCCUUAUAAUCUGGUGCGCCUUAAAUAUGGACAAAGUUUUAAAAUGGGCCAUUCAUUGAAGGUGCGCUUUAUAAUCCAGUGCGCCUUAUAGUGCGAAAAAUACGGUACUUCUAAUUCUCCCACUUACAUCAUCCAUCCAUCCAUCCAUCCAUCCAUCCAUCCAUCCAUCCAUCCAUCCAUCCAUCUCUUUAUAUGAAUCAUGAACGUAAUGUGAAGGUACAUAGCAUCACAAACCCGGCGUCACAAAUAUGACAAAAAUAUUAAAGUCACGACAAAAAGGCAGAACACGGGGACGGGAGGAAACUGUGCACUUUCAUAACAUCUGAAUCCGUGUCUAACUUUCAUCAUGUCUCUUGUUAUCGCUGCGGUUUGUCUUUGAUUUGGUUCAAUGUGUGUGUUAUUGUGUGGAGGAAACAAGCAGAAGAAAGAAGCUCGGGAAAAAUACCACCAUUGUGACAGAGACUCUAUUAGUGCCGUUGUUUGGCAGCUGGCAGCGAGGAUCAAAUUCGACAUCUUUGACAUUUGCAAUCUGCCCCUGACACCACGCAAUGCCUUGUAAGAAGCCGUCACAACUAGCUCGCCUGUUGUCAUUUUCCUCCGCUUCGUGUCAUCUGCUUGUGUUAUGGUGAAUUGUUUAUACCGCCCGAGGAGUAUCGGUAACACGAUGACAUUUUUGCAAAACAAGGGACAUUUAACGGCGAGCCCGCUUGCAAAAUACUGUGCUCGUCUCGACGCGGGAACAGAGACUUUUAAGCAGUUGCACUUAAUAAAUCCCAAAGCAGCCUUCAGAAAGCCUUUUUUUUUUUUUUUAAUCACCCAAUGUAGA
Syngnathus typhle (broad-nosed pipefish) is the source of this 1625-nucleotide long non-coding RNA. RefSeq lists it as uncharacterized. Lineage: Eukaryota; Metazoa; Chordata; Actinopteri; Syngnathiformes; Syngnathidae. The transcript is spliced from 4 exons. The record is from RefSeq and is a predicted model, not a curated record.